AGUUGAGGAAUUUAACAGAAGAAUUGCUCGAGAAAUGAAAAAUCUCCCCAACAAGAAUCUCGAUGACUUGUAGGAUCUCAUGAAAAUUUAUAAAAAAAUAAAGUUUGGUGUGAGAAAAUUA
Non-coding RNA from Danio rerio (zebrafish), 121 nucleotides. NCBI's taxonomy places the organism in Eukaryota, Metazoa, Chordata, Actinopteri, Cypriniformes, Danionidae. The record is from RefSeq and is a predicted model, not a curated record.